Nothobranchius furzeri (turquoise killifish) is the source of this 346-nucleotide long non-coding RNA. RefSeq lists it as uncharacterized. NCBI's taxonomy places the organism in Eukaryota, Metazoa, Chordata, Actinopteri, Cyprinodontiformes, Nothobranchiidae. The record is from RefSeq and is a predicted model, not a curated record.
AGGGGUAUCUUUACAGUAUGCUCUAAUGGUAAACAGCACAACACAAACGAGUAAGGUCUAGCUGCGGACGCAGCCCCGGCCAAACACGCCCCUAUGUACAAAACGCGUGCAUGUACGAAGACGAGAACUCGCAUGCGUGUUGGUUGCAAGAGAUGGAAAUGACGUUCAGUGAGAGGCAGCUGAUGUCCUAUGCCAUGGAACUGCUCAUAUACUCGGAGAGAAAAUCAGAAAAGCUCUGGACUCAUCUGAAUUUCUGAAGAGGCUGUAGCAUUGUGUGGACAUUUUUUAUUUUUUUAUUUUUGGAAGGUAUUGGUAAGGCCAAUAAAAGCUGUUGCUGGUUGUUUCA